This 447-nucleotide ribosomal RNA is filed under the name uncultured bacterium. RNAcentral's name for it is "partial 16S ribosomal RNA". It matches the Rfam family "Bacterial small subunit ribosomal RNA", at positions 29 to 523 of the family's 1533-position model. The record is from RNAcentral.
AGCGAACGCUGGCGGCAGGCUUAGCACAUGCAAGUCGAGCGCCCCGCAAGGGGAGCGGCAGACGGGUGAGUAACACGUGGGAACGUGCCUUUUGGUUCGGAACAACCCAGGGAAACUUGGGCUAAUACCGGAUAAGCCCUUACGGGGAAAGAUUUAUCGCCAAAAGAUCGGCCCGCGUCUGAUUAGCUAGUUGGUGGGGUAAUGGCCCACCAAGGCUACGAUCAGUAGCUGGUCUGAGAGGAUGAUCAGCCACAUUGGGACCGAGACACGGCCCAAACUCCUACGGGAGGCAGCAGUGGGGAAUAUUGGACAAUGGGGGCAACCCUGAUCCAGCCAUGCCGCGUGAGUGAUGAAGGCCUUAGGGUUGUAAAGCUCUUUUAGCAGGGAAGAUAAUGACGGUACCUGCAGAGAAAGCCCCGGCUAACUUCGUGCCAGCCGCCGCCGUAA